This 492-nucleotide ribosomal RNA is filed under the name uncultured bacterium. RNAcentral describes it as "partial 16S ribosomal RNA". It matches the Rfam family "Bacterial small subunit ribosomal RNA", at positions 29 to 507 of the family's 1533-position model. The record is from RNAcentral.
AUUGAACGCUGGCGGCAUGCUUUACACAUGCAAGUCGAACGGUAACAGGCCUUCGGGUGCUGACGAGUGGCGAACGGGUGAGUAAUGCAUCGGAACGUACCCAGAGGUGGGGGAUAACGCAGCGAAAGCUGUGCUAAUACCGCAUGUGAUCUGAGGAUGAAAGCGGGGGACCGAGCAGCAAUGUUUGGCCUCGCGCCUUUGGAGCGGCCGAUGUCGGAUUAGCUAGUUGGUGGGGUAAAGGCCUACCCAGGCGACGAUCCGUAGCUGGUCUGAGAGGACGACCAGCCACACUGGGACUGAGACACGGCCCAGACUCCUACGGGAGGCAGCAGUGGGGAAUUGUGGACAAUGGGCGCAAGCCUGAUCCAGCAAUGCCGCGUGCGGGAAGAAGGCCUUCGGGUUGUAAACCGCUUUUGGCAGGAACGAAACGGUGUCCGCUAAUACCGGGCGCUAAUGACGGUACCUGCAGAAUAAGCACCGGCUAACUACGUG